Molecule: ribosomal RNA, 332 nt
Filed under: uncultured eukaryote
Lineage: Eukaryota
Description: partial 18S ribosomal RNA
Rfam family: Eukaryotic small subunit ribosomal RNA
Source: RNAcentral
CCCUUAGAUGUUCUGGGCUGCACACGUGCUACACUGGUAGGUUCAGCGAGCUUCAUGCCCUGAUCUGAAAGGAAUGGGAAAUCUUUUCAAAACCUGCCGUGCUUGGGAUAGAUGUUUGCAAUUAUUCAUCUUCAACGAGGAUUGCCUUGUAAGCGCACGUCAUCAGCGUGCAUUGAAUACGACCCUGUAUUCUGUACACACCGCCCGUCGCUCCUACCGAUUGAAGUUUUCGGUGAGUUGACAGGAGGAUUUUUUUGAAACUGGUUCGCCAGUGGAUUUUAGAUCCAAAUGCCAACGAAUCGAUGGCUUUAGAGGAAGGAGAAGUCGUAACA